GUGCUUGCUUCGGCAGCACAUAUACUAAAAUUGGAACGAUACAGAGAAGAUUAUCAUGGCCCCUGUGCAAGAAUGACACGCAAAUUUGUGAAGCAUUCCAUAUAUUU
Small nuclear RNA from Delphinapterus leucas (beluga whale), 107 nucleotides. The record is from Ensembl. Lineage: Eukaryota; Metazoa; Chordata; Mammalia; Artiodactyla; Monodontidae.